This 85-nucleotide transfer RNA is filed under the name Lecanora saxigena. RNAcentral's name for it is "tRNA-Tyr". It matches the Rfam family "tRNA". From Rfam's summary of the family: Transfer RNA (tRNA) molecules are approximately 80 nucleotides in length. Their secondary structure includes four short double-helical elements and three loops (D, anti-codon, and T loops). Lineage: Eukaryota; Fungi; Ascomycota; Lecanoromycetes; Lecanorales; Lecanoraceae. The record is from RNAcentral.
AGGAAACUUCCAUAAUUGGCAAUAUGGGUUGAGCUGUAAACUCAAUAGCAUGAAGCUUCUAUGAGUUCGAAUCUCUUGUUUCCUA